CAGGCGCUCUGCCCCGCCGUGGGGUUUUGGGGGUGCUGUGGAGAAGGCAGGGCUCGGGACUCUUCCACCUCCUUGGCUGCUCUGGCCUUUGAGUUAUGCUCUAAGAUUAUCGAUUACUUUUCCGUUGUUGCUUAUUUCCCACAGCAGCAGAAUGAGAACGGUUAUUAGUUAAUAGCCAUCAGAGACAGACCAAGUGGAACACAGUCCUCGGAAAAACGCCACUCUGUAGCAUUAGUAAUUAAAACCUCACAAGGUUUGUAUUUCCUGAAGGAGGCCGUCAGUGUCAAUGCUGUACUAACGACGGUACUGUACACUUCUCAGUCCUUUAUGUGGAGCUGGGGGCAGGAAGAAUUGCUUCUGGAAGCUGAUGGAGUUGGACAUGUGGCUUUCUAGAAUCUGGAUGUGAUGGUGCAGGAAAAACUCCUGCCCAUUGAGAGGGCUCCGUAAGUGCUUCCCAAAAGAGAAUGAGAAGGAAAAGGAGAUCUCCACAGGAACUGCCUCCUUGGAUCCAGGGCAAAAAUGAACCUCCUAUUGGAGAGAAGUGCCCAGCUUGUCAAGAAGUUGAAUCGGUGCAACCAGCGUUUGUGAAAGCAGCAUUUCCCAUUUCACAUAAAGUCAGCUUCUGGCCAACUGGACAAGUCUGAACAAAUAUGAAACCCACUAAAAGGCCAGUGACAGGUGCACACACUACUGACUCUGGCUAGAGGCUGUGGCAGGAAUUGGACUCAUGUCAUCCAGCGACAGUUCCACCAGCAUCUCUUGUGGCUUCCCAAGGACCAGCCUGAGGCAAACUCCUCAGUGGUGUGAAGACUUUCCAUGUCACUGGAAACCCACCACAGAGUUCUACCAAGUAACCAUGCCUCCACCAGUCCACAACAAACUUUUAAGGCCUCUCCAGUUAUGCCUGCAACCAUCCCACAUUAGCAACCUAAGUAGGCCACCAGUAGAGCUGGUCAAGAGAAAGGAUAGGUUCAAUUAAUUAUUUUUUAAUUAAAAAAAAAUAGAGACAGGGUCUUGUUAUGUUGCCGAGGCUGGUCUUGUACU
RNAcentral lists this long non-coding RNA (1044 nucleotides) under Homo sapiens (human). RNAcentral's name for it is "HSALNT0335593". The record is from RNAcentral. Lineage: Eukaryota; Metazoa; Chordata; Mammalia; Primates; Hominidae.